AGUUUCUCAAGUGAGAAAC
Molecule: small nuclear RNA, 19 nt
Filed under: Arabidopsis thaliana (thale cress)
Lineage: Eukaryota; Viridiplantae; Streptophyta; Magnoliopsida; Brassicales; Brassicaceae
Description: snRNA_12393
Source: RNAcentral